UACGUAGGUGGCAAGCGUUAUCCGGAUUUACUGGGUGUAAAGGGCGAGUAGGCGGGAUUGCAAGUCAGAUGUGAAAACUAUGGGCUCAACCGAUAGAGUGCAUUUGAAACUGCAGUUCUUGAGUGAUGGAGAGGCAGGCGGCAUUCCCGGUGUAGCGGUGGAAUGCGUAGAUAUCGGGAGGAACACCAGUGGCGAAGGCGGCCUGCUGGACAUUAACUGACGCUGAGGCGCGAAAGCGUGGGGAGCAAACAGG
Molecule: ribosomal RNA, 253 nt
Filed under: uncultured bacterium
Lineage: Bacteria
Description: partial 16S ribosomal RNA
Rfam family: Bacterial small subunit ribosomal RNA
Source: RNAcentral